This 582-nucleotide ribosomal RNA is filed under the name uncultured bacterium. RNAcentral's name for it is "partial 16S ribosomal RNA". It matches the Rfam family "Bacterial small subunit ribosomal RNA", at positions 355 to 1375 of the family's 1533-position model. The record is from RNAcentral.
UGGGGAAUUUUGGACAAUGGGCGAAAGCCUGAUCCAGCAAUGCCGCGUGUGUGAAGAAGGCCUUCGGGUUGUAAAGCACUUUUGUCCGGAAAGAAAUCCUUGGCUCUAAUACAGUCGGGGGAUGACGGUACCGGAAGAAUAAGCACCGGCUAACUACGUGCCAGCAGCCGCGGUAAUACGUAGGGUGCAAGCGUUAAUCGGAAUUACUGGGCGUAAAGCGUGCGCAGGCGGUUUGCUAAGACCGAUGUGAAAUCCCCGGGCUCAACCUGGGAACUGCAUUGGUGACUGGCAGGCUAGAGUAUGGCAGAGGGGGUAGAAUUCCACGUGUAGCAGUGAAAUGCGUAGAGAUGUGGAGGAAUACCGAUGGCGAAGGCAGCCCCCUGGCCAAUACUGACGCUCAUGCACGAAAGCGUGGGGAGCAAACAGGAUUAGAUACCCUGGUAGUCCACGCCCUAAACGAUGUCAACUAGUUGUUGGGGAUUCAUUCCUUAGUAACGUAGCUAACGCGUGAAGUUGACCGCCUGGGGAGUACGGUCGCAAGAUUAAAACUCAAAGGAAUUGACGGGGUCAUAGCUGUUUCCU